CUAUCCGUCGUGGGCGCAGGAAAUUUGAGAGGAGCUGUCCUUAGUACGAGAGGACCGGGAUGGACGCACCGCUGGUGUACCAGUUGUCUUGCCAAAGGCAUCGCUGGGUAGCUAUGUGCGGACGGGAUAAGUGCUGAAAGCAUCUAAGCAUGAAGCCCCCCUCAAGAUGAGAUUUCCCAUAGCGUAAGCUAGUAAGAACCCUGAAAGAUGAUCAGGUUGAUAGGUCAGAGGUGGAAGCGCGGUGACGUGUGGAGCUGACUGAUACUAAUCGUUCGAGGACUUAACCAAAUA
This 291-nucleotide ribosomal RNA is filed under the name Bacillus sp. MRMR6. Its description in RNAcentral is "partial 23S ribosomal RNA". It matches the Rfam family "Bacterial large subunit ribosomal RNA", at positions 2638 to 2925 of the family's 2925-position model. Lineage: Bacteria; Bacillati; Bacillota; Bacilli; Caryophanales; Bacillaceae. The record is from RNAcentral.